UGUAAUACCCCGUUUCCUCGAGCUAAGUUUAGAAUAAUUUUGAACUUAGAUUUAAGAUGAUUCACGCCGGAAUGAGAAAAAGAAUUUAUUUUUAAUUCCAACAAAAAUGAUUUACAAAAACAUUUGUAAAUUUAGUUAUUAAAUUUAUAUGCAUUGCAUAUUUAUUUAAUUUAGCAUUCAAGUAUUUUCACGAGAUCAAUAUUUAUUUAGCGAACCCUGAAGUAUUUAUUACAGUCCCGAUAUUUUAUCCUGAGGGAUUUUAUUAGUUCAAUCAACACCGCAUCUCACACCAUACCCUAUGUUCCUAAUAGCCACCCUAUAUCAUGAUUAUUUUUUUUUCAUACAUGUCUUUAUGCAGACAAUCAAAUCUCCCAUAUCUUUAUCAAAUUUCUUUUGCUUUAGGCUGUCCACUUUCUUUUGCUUCCACUUUCAAAUUCCACUACACCUAACAUCACCACUGUGAAACCCAACUGCCAGCCAUAUAAUCAAACAUCAGAACAUGAACCCAUCCAUCCAUACAAUCUUUGAGUUCUCAAGAAAACAGCAACGCCGAUUUCAUCAAUAGAAGCAAUCAAAACCAGUAUCAUUCAUUCACAAAGGUUCUACCUUUUCUUUAUACAUCUUUCAUUUAUUCUUUACACAAUCCCAAACCAUAUCAGACUACAUACAUUUUUCAUGAAUUCUUUGCAGAUACACAACAAAUAGAAACAGACUCCAUUCCACACCUACAAGGUUAUUUCUAUGACUCGAGCACUUCCCAUAACACAUACACCGAUUCCAUUAUAUAUAAAUUUGCAUAUGACAACAAGACCUAAACUCAAUGAUGUUUAUUUAUCGUCUGUGCAUAUACAUACAUACAUGAAGCAUGUUUUCUAAAUAGAAAAGAAGUAGAAAUUGAAGCUCUGUUUUUAUUCUUUGUUUUCGAACUGCCGUGUCGAGUCGGGGAGAGAGCUUGAGGGCUAGGGAUCGGCGGCGGCGGUCUUCCAGCCGUGCAGUCGCCGGAAGUCAGAGGGUAGGGAGGUGGAGACUGAAGGUGGGGAUUAGAGGCGGUCGGCGAUGGCUGGUUGCUGUCGUCCGUCCGACACAGAGUGAGAGGAGAAAAGAUGAGAAAAAGAAAAAAAGGGAAGGAGAAUAGGGAAUUAGGGCUUACCUUAAGCUGCCGGAUGACGGAAGCGGCGCCGGUCGUGGUGGCUCCAGCCUUCGGCUGGAGAAGAUGAACCAGGCGCCGCGGCGACGGUGGCUCGGCUGCUGUUGCCGGAAGGCCGAGAGAGAGAUCGCGAGGAAGGUCAACGGCGGCAGUCCACUUCUUCGGCUGUCGUCGGGCGAUCUGUGAACGGACGGAGAGAGAAAAGAGGUAGGCGGAUGCCGGUGGCGUGGAGCUACUGGUAAUCGUCGGUCAAGCUUGAGCAUGAGAGAGACGGUGGUGGCGGUUUUGGCCGCUGCUCGCCGGGAGAGAAGAGAGGUGAGGGAGACAGUCGAGAGAAAGAUUUGAGGGAGGAGAAUAGAG
RNAcentral lists this long non-coding RNA (1507 nucleotides) under Salvia miltiorrhiza (redroot sage). RNAcentral's name for it is "long non-coding RNA (SMIL_LNC003519)". The record is from RNAcentral. Lineage: Eukaryota; Viridiplantae; Streptophyta; Magnoliopsida; Lamiales; Lamiaceae.